ACGUAGGGACCAAGCGUUGUUCGGAUUUACUGGGCGUAAAGGGCGCGUAGGCGGCGCGGUAAGUCACUUGUGAAAUCUCUGAGCUUAACUCAGAACGGCCAAGUGAUACUGUCGUGCUAGAGUGCGGAAGGGGCUACUGGAAUUCUCGGUGUAGCGGUGAAAUGCGUAGAUAUCGAGAGGAACACCUGCGGCGAAGGCAGGUAGCUGGGCCAUUCCUGACACUGAGGCACGAAAGCGUGGGGAGCGAACCGGA
This 253-nucleotide ribosomal RNA is filed under the name uncultured prokaryote. RNAcentral describes it as "partial 16S ribosomal RNA". It matches the Rfam family "Bacterial small subunit ribosomal RNA", at positions 525 to 777 of the family's 1533-position model. The record is from RNAcentral.